UGGGGAAUAUUGGACAAUGGGCGAAAGCCUGAUCCAGCCAUGCCGCGUGUGUGAAGAAGGUCUUCGGAUUGUAAAGCACUUUAAGUUGGGAGGAAGGGCAUUAACCUAAUACGUUAGUGUUUUGACGUUACCGACAGAAUAAGCACCGGCUAACUCUGUGCCAGCAGCCGCGGUAAUACAGAGGGUGCAAGCGUUAAUCGGAAUUACUGGGCGUAAAGCGCGCGUAGGUGGUUUGUUAAGUUGGAUGUGAAAUCCCCGGGCUCAACCUGGGAACUGCAUUCAAAACUGACUGACUAGAGUAUGGUAGAGGGUGGUGGAAUUUCCUGUGUAGCGGUGAAAUGCGUAGAUAUAGGAAGGAACACCAGUGGCGAAGGCGACCACCUGGACUAAUACUGACGCUGAGGAGCGAAAGCAUGGGGAGCGAACA
This 427-nucleotide ribosomal RNA is filed under the name uncultured bacterium. RNAcentral describes it as "partial 16S ribosomal RNA". It matches the Rfam family "Bacterial small subunit ribosomal RNA", at positions 355 to 774 of the family's 1533-position model. The record is from RNAcentral.